RNAcentral lists this transfer RNA (76 nucleotides) under Thalassospira sp. RNAcentral describes it as "tRNA-Asn". It matches the Rfam family "tRNA". Rfam says of the family: Transfer RNA (tRNA) molecules are approximately 80 nucleotides in length. Their secondary structure includes four short double-helical elements and three loops (D, anti-codon, and T loops). Further hydrogen bonds mediate the characteristic L-shaped molecular structure. tRNAs have two regions of fundamental functional importance: the anti-codon, which is responsible for specific mRNA codon recognition, and the 3' end, to which the tRNAs corresponding amino acid is attached (by aminoacyl-tRNA synthetases). tRNAs cope with the degeneracy of the genetic code in two manners: having more than one tRNA (with a specific anti-codon) for a particular amino acid; and 'wobble' base-pairing, i.e. permitting non-standard base-pairing at the 3rd anti-codon position. Lineage: Bacteria; Pseudomonadati; Pseudomonadota; Alphaproteobacteria; Rhodospirillales; Thalassospiraceae. The record is from RNAcentral.
UCCNNNAUAGCUCAGUUGGUAGAGCAAAUGACUGUUAAUCAUUGGGUCGCAGGUUCGAGUCCUGCUGCCGGAGCCA